CGAUACCACAUGGAUGUUAUUAUAAAUUCCAAUUUCUUUAUAUGACUGGGGUCAGGAUAUAUUCAUGUAGUCAGAUAUACGAAUCAGUUAUACCAAUACAAAAUGGUGGUAGCGUCGAGAUAAACUUAUUACAUAAUGAUACAAGUACACCGAGAGUAUUCACGGCCUGUGUGCAAAUAAAAUCAGCAUCCUCAUCAUCUAAAAGACUGUCAUGUGGUAAAUCAAGAUGGUCAACAACAAGCUAUAAACCUACUGAUAUAGAAACAUCUUUCACAGAAAGUAUAACGACACCCGGUGAUGAAUCUAACCAACCAACAUAUGGUAGUGAAUCUAACCAACCAACAUCUGAUAGUGAAUCUAACCAACCAACAACACCAACAUCUAAGAAUGAUAACUCGAUAUCUGCUAUAAUUGGUGGAGCUGUAGGAGGAUUAAUUGUGAUUAUCGUCAUCAUUAUUAUCAUAGUAAUCUGUGUAAUACGUAAGAAGAAUGGGGACAAUAUUUAUGACAGUCCAGAAGCUGCAGAGACUGGUCCUCAUCCUUACCAGAUCAUUCACAGAUAACAGAUAUGGGGAGAUAACUCUGACUGAUAAACAUAAUAAUGAAUUGGUUCAUCAGGAGAAUGAUCCAUAUACCAGUAUUGAUAAUGAUAUAAUUAAACCUAGCAACGGUAACCAAGGAAUGGAAUGUCUAGAAAAUGAUCUUUAUAUUAGUUCUGAUGAUGUCACUGAUGACGUGGCGGUUGAUGAUAAACUUAAACCUAGCAACGGUAACCAAGGGAUGGAAUAUCUAGAAAAUGAUCUGUAUAUUAGUUCUGAUGAUGUCACUAAUGACGUGGUGGUUGGUGAUAAACUAAAAGUAAAACUUCCGGUUGUGGCGGAACACGCCCGGGUUAACACAUCUAACACGAACCAAAUCACGAAUGGGAUCAAGGAGAGAAAAAUACACUGUUGUUAAUAAAGAGUGGGGGGGAAUGAUCAAUAAGGAUAAACGUAAUGAACAAUUUAAAAUAGGGCCUAGUGCAGAUAAAUACACUGUUGUUAAUAAAGAGGGGAAGAAGAACAAUGAUGAAACUGAAGGAAAAUUUAAAAUAGGGCCUAGUGGAGAUACAUACGCUGUUGUUAAUAAAGAGGGGAGAGGAACCUUAAAUAAUUAUGUUGUAAUUAUGUUGAAUGUUUGUCACCGUGCUGAACCUUUCAAUCCGGUGUCUAGCUAAUCCAAAACGCUUGAUACGUCUACUAAAUGUUAUAUUGUAUAUUGAGAUUUGCUUAUAAUUUCUACAGGUGCCGAUGUAAUGAGACCCCACCCCAUCAUGAGAACCAAGUAAGCACCCCUGAGGUUCACCAAAAACAAUAACAAAAUCAAUAACAAUCUUAAAUUAACAUGAACUUUAUGUCAACUUGAAUAAAACUGUUUUCCGGCGAGAUAACGAUCGGCGAGGAACUAUAAUAGGGAAUACGAUCAAUGGUUCAGCGAGGAGCUCAGUGUUAUAGCCACUAUUGUCUUGACAUUCAUUGUCCGGUGGGACUGUGGAUGGCGCCCUCGAUUUUAACAGACCCCCCCCCUUCCCCACCCAUCGAUUCACAGCUUCUAGAUCCACUACAGA
Long non-coding RNA from Patella vulgata (common limpet), 1606 nucleotides. RefSeq lists it as uncharacterized. NCBI's taxonomy places the organism in Eukaryota, Metazoa, Mollusca, Gastropoda, Patellidae. The transcript is spliced from 5 exons. The record is from RefSeq and is a predicted model, not a curated record.